Molecule: long non-coding RNA, 1528 nt
Organism: Mustela lutreola (European mink)
Lineage: Eukaryota; Metazoa; Chordata; Mammalia; Carnivora; Mustelidae
Exons: 3
Source: RefSeq, a predicted model, not a curated record
UUGUGGCCUGAUUUGAAGACAAGGUUCGUUUGCCUCAGAAGGUCCUUCUUGACGAAUCCUUCAGGGCAGGAACCGGUGAGCCUGAGGCCUCUACCAGGCAAACUGGGAACAGGAAGAGCCGGCUGAAAAGCAAGAACCGCAGAACCGUGGGGUUGCAGUAAUAGAUGAGAGUUUCUGUUUCUCCAGAUCUUUGUCCGCAUUUGGUGUUGUCAGUGCUUGGAUUUUGGCCAUUCCAACAGGUACAUCUUUCAGGGGUCUUAAUUAUAAGAAGUAGACACUGACUUGCGCUGAUUCAGCAGAAGAGGAGUUUAUUGCAAGCCAAUUGGACAGCUUCGUGGGGAGUGGUGCUGGAGGACCCAGCUGAGGCUCAGUUCCAGAAGCAAUGUCCAACUACACUACAGAACUGGUCUGAAGAGGAAACCCCUGAUGCUGUGGCCAACAUGAUUAGGCUACAGUUAUCCCACUGCCAUUCCUGGGCCUCAAACACUCUGUCGUAUCUACUGCCCCACCUUCAAGACAAAGCAAGUCCCCCUUCUCUCUCUUCUUGGUUCCAUACCACCUGAGCCCCUGUCUGGGAGAGGAGGCAGAGCCAGGUACAUGUCUGUGCCCUAGUAGCAAGGGACAAUGGGGAAGGGAAGCAUUUCAUAACAUGAGAAGCUCCCAGAUAUCGGAGAGGUGUUAAAAAGAUGCUGGGCGGCCGCAAAUGUGACAAACAUCCAGUAGGGUAGGGAUCCUGAUCACAUUUACAUAUGUGAUGUCCUUGCAGACUUUAUCAAUUUAUCGGGCAUCCCAUUUCUCAUUUGUCAUUUACAUAGCCUAAAUCCGUUUCCUUUUUUUUUUUUUCCUCCUAAGAUUUUAUUUAUUUAUUUGACACAGAGAGAGAGAGCACAAGUAGGCAGAGCAGGAGGCAGAAGCAGACUCCCUGCUGGGCAGAGAGCCCGAUGCGGGGCUCGAUCCUAGGACCCUGGGAUCAUGACUUGAGCCAAAGGCAGACGCUUAACCCACUAAGCCACCCAGGUACUCCCUGGAUGCGUUUCUUGAUAAAAGAGUUUUUGUUGCUACCCCACCCCCCACCCCCACCGCACUCCUUUUGCUGUUACAAGAGUUCAUGGACCUCCUAAAACAAUGGUCAAGAUCUUUUGAAGGGGCAGAGAUCCUUAAAGAAUCAAACAAAAGCUAUGGAUCUUCUCUUCAGAAACAUACACAUGCAAGUAGUUUGGGGAGGUUCGCGGGUCCCCAGAAGACACUCCUGCCCUCGAAGAGAUCUAUGGCUCAGAAUAAGGCUAAGAACAAGAAACGCAAGGUGCUCUUCCAUUUGCUUUCCAUUUGCCAGAGUUGGACUGUCCUUUGGGAAUCAGUCAGUCCUGGGUUUGAGUCCUACCUGCUGCACUGGCCAGCUUCCCGGUGCUGGGCAAGUUACACAAGCUGAACAAUAGUUUCCUCAUCUGCCAAGGGAAAAUAGUAAUACCAAACUAUCAGGUGGGUAGGAGGCUUCAAGAAGGUGUACCUGCAAAGUGUCUAGCCCACA